Non-coding RNA from Phrynosoma platyrhinos (Desert horned lizard), 72 nucleotides. NCBI's taxonomy places the organism in Eukaryota, Metazoa, Chordata, Lepidosauria, Squamata, Phrynosomatidae. The record is from the annotation of a GenBank genome assembly.
CUUUGAGUAAUGCAAUGGUUUGAGUGUUGGAGUGUGACUCUAGAGACCAGGGUUUGAUUCCCUGCUCAAUCA